Molecule: long non-coding RNA, 617 nt
Organism: Nyctereutes procyonoides (raccoon dog)
Lineage: Eukaryota; Metazoa; Chordata; Mammalia; Carnivora; Canidae
Exons: 4
Source: RefSeq, a predicted model, not a curated record
UCCAGCGCCAUUCACGCCUUUGUCCUGCUUUAUGGGAGAAGAGUCGACUUUUUUUCCCCCGAAGACUCAUUUUUAAAGAUUCUUGUCCUUCGUGUAGUAGCUGCAUGCUUUAAACCACAGGCGUAGAGGGAACUUCUAUUUUACAUCAUUUUCUGAUAAAACCCUUUGUCGCAAUAAGGGAUCCUCAUGCCCAGCUUCUAGUGGCCGCUUCAGUAAUGUCCACCGAAUAUUGAUCAUGUGGAAUGCCAGGCGGAGCUCUGAAGGGACCCUUACGAAAAAUAGAGAAGAAAAGCCUAUGGUUUCUGGAUGCAUGCGGGAGUGAAACACCGUGAUUCAGUUAGGUUUGAGAGGUCAGGCUCCUGGUAUCCUUGACCAUCCAGGAAGUGGCCUAGAACCAGGAAAUGGGAAAACCUGAGAAGAUCAAAGAGCUGUCACAAAGCUCAUGCACUAAAAUCUAUAGGGGAGACCCUCAGGAUCACUCUACUCCAGCAUUUCCGAUUUAGGUCUGAGGUAAUAAGCUGCUGGCACUGAGUUCUCAUCACGACAGUACCACUCUUCCAGAAGCUUGGUCUCCAGCUUUGCCUCUACGGCAGCAUCCAAAAUCAUUUCAAAUUCCG